RNAcentral lists this long non-coding RNA (714 nucleotides) under Citrus sinensis (sweet orange). Its description in RNAcentral is "long non-coding RNA (CSIN_LNC002833)". The record is from RNAcentral. Lineage: Eukaryota; Viridiplantae; Streptophyta; Magnoliopsida; Sapindales; Rutaceae.
CGAAGAAGAAGAAGAAGAGGACGGCGUCGUAUCGUCCUCGAAGGAGAAAGAUGGGGGUGGGGGUUUGACAAGAAACAAGUUCUCCAUGAGUUCAUUAGAAGACUCGCUUCUAAACAAGUAAUUAAAUUACUGUCAAUAUUAAUUUUUUCCAUUAUUUAUUUCGAGAAAUUAGUUAGUAUGCAUGUGGUGUGAUGUGAUGUGAUAUCUAUGAAUGAAUGAAUGAAUGAAUGAAUGAAUGAACCAACGGCAGGAGAGGAUUAUCGAAUCACUACGGCGGGAAAUCGAAGUCGUUUGGGAAUUUAGCAGAGGUAGUGGAGAGCAGCGGCGGGGCAGCCAAGCAAGUACUGGAGAAGGAAGAGAAUCCGUUCAAUAAGAGGAGGAGGAUUUUGAUUGCCAACAGAUUGUCCCGCAAAUUAUUCUAUUCCACUCCCACGCACCGUAACCGUAAAUCCAUGCCUCUCCUCCCCGUACUUCACGACGACGACGACGACGACGACGAAGAAGAAACUGAAGGAGGAGGAGGAGGAGGAGGAGAUAUUGACAAACAUCAACAACAACGACACGACGAUGACGACGAACACCAGCUGCAGCAGCAGCAGCAGUAUCAAUAUGGGAGCAGGCUUAAACUCAUGAUCAACAACAGCAUGCGUUACAAGUCCCACAGUUGCUUCUGUCUUGCAGAUCUAGGCGAGGAGGAAGAAGAAGAAGAAGAAG